UACGUAGGGUGCGAGCGUUGUCCGGAAUUAUUGGGCGUAAAGGGCUCGUAGGCGGUCUGUCGCGUCGGGAGUGAAAACCAGGUGCUUAACACCUGGCUUGCUUUCGAUACGGGCAGACUAGAGGUAUUCAGGGGAGAACGGAAUUCCUGGUGUAGCGGUGAAAUGCGCAGAUAUCAGGAGGAACACCGGUGGCGAAGGCGGGUCUCUGGGCAUUACCUGACGCUGAGGAGCGAAAGUGUGGGGAGCGAACAGG
This 253-nucleotide ribosomal RNA is filed under the name uncultured bacterium. Its description in RNAcentral is "partial 16S ribosomal RNA". It matches the Rfam family "Bacterial small subunit ribosomal RNA", at positions 524 to 776 of the family's 1533-position model. The record is from RNAcentral.